CCCGCCGCAGGCCCCCAGCACGGCGGCAAGGACCAGCACACCCGCCGCAGGCCCCCAACACGACGGUCAGGACCACCCCGUCGCAGGCCCUCAGCACGACGACCAGGACCGGCACGCCCACCUCGGGCACUCCCUUCUUCAGCACCUCAUGCCCUCCCUGCUGUUCCUCUUUCUGUGCAGACAAAACUGUUACCAUGGAUCCAUGGCCAUAGCCUAAAUCUUCUUUUCAAACUAUAAAUCGCUAAGGGUGGCUAUAGCAGAGGUAUGUAGCCCCUUGAAAGCCAAAUCACUAACAAAGCCGAUGAAAUGAACUUGCCCUUGUUCACGUCCCUGUUUCUCUGUCUGCCACCAAACUGCAAAGUUGUUCUUUUAUUCAGUUCAUAAGAAGACAUCGUUUUUAGCAAAGUAAGUUGUUCUUUUAUUCAAUUCAUAAGCAGACAUCGUUUUUAACAAAGUUUUAGUUUAUUGAUCUCCCAAAACCAGAUGUGGUCU
This 492-nucleotide long non-coding RNA is filed under the name Hordeum vulgare. Its description in RNAcentral is "long non-coding RNA (HVUL_LNC017400)". The record is from RNAcentral. Lineage: Eukaryota; Viridiplantae; Streptophyta; Magnoliopsida; Poales; Poaceae.